CCUACGGGUGGCAGCAGUGGGGAAUAUUGCGCAAUGGGCGCAAGCCUGACCCAGCAACGCCGCGUGAAGGAAGAAGGCUUUCGGGUUGUAAACUUCUUUUGUCAGGGACGAAGCAAGUGACGGUACCUGCCGAAUAAGCCACGGCUAACUACGUGCCAGCAGCCGCGGUACUACGUAGGGGGCACGCGUUAUCCGGAUUUACUGGGUGUAAAGGGCGUGUAGGCGGGGAGGCAAGUCAGAUGUGAAAACCACGGGCUCAACCUGUGGCCUGCAUUUGAAACUGGUUGUCUAGAGUGCUGGAGAGGAGAUCGGAAUUCCGGGUGUAGCGGUGAAAUGCGUAGAUAUACGGAGGAACACCAGUGGCGAAGGCGGAUUGCUGGACAGUAACUGACGCUGAGGCGCGAAAGCGUGGGGAGCAAACAGGAUUAGAUACCCUAGUAGUC
This 443-nucleotide ribosomal RNA is filed under the name uncultured bacterium. RNAcentral's name for it is "partial 16S ribosomal RNA". It matches the Rfam family "Bacterial small subunit ribosomal RNA", at positions 338 to 795 of the family's 1533-position model. The record is from RNAcentral.